Molecule: non-coding RNA, 72 nt
Organism: Phrynosoma platyrhinos (Desert horned lizard)
Lineage: Eukaryota; Metazoa; Chordata; Lepidosauria; Squamata; Phrynosomatidae
Source: the annotation of a GenBank genome assembly
GCCAGCGUGGCGUAGUGGUUUGGGUGUAGGACUACGGCUCUGCAGACCAGGGUUCGAAUCCUGGCUCAGCCA